Molecule: ribosomal RNA, 390 nt
Filed under: uncultured bacterium
Lineage: Bacteria
Description: bacterial SSU rRNA
Rfam family: Bacterial small subunit ribosomal RNA
Source: RNAcentral
GACGAACGCUGGCGGCGUGCUUAACACAUGCAAGUCGAGCGAGGCCCUUCCUUCGGGAAGGUGCCCUAGCGGCGAACGGGUGAGUAACACGUGGGCAAUCUGCCCCUAGCACUGGGAUAACUCCGGGAAACCGGGGCUAAUACCGGAUAUGACCUCUGAGGGCAUCCUCUGGAGGUGGAAAGGAUUCUGGCUAGGGAUGAGCCCGCGGCCUAUCAGCUUGUUGGUGGGGUAAGGCCUACCAAGGCGACGACGGGUAGCCGGCCUGAGAGGGCGACCGGCCACACUGGGACUGAGACACGGCCCAGACUCCUACGGGAGGCAGCAGUGGGGAAUACUGCACAAUGGGCGAAAGCCUGAUGCAGCGACGCCGCGUGAGCGAUGAAGCCCGUU